Molecule: small nucleolar RNA, 129 nt
Filed under: Mus pahari (shrew mouse)
Lineage: Eukaryota; Metazoa; Chordata; Mammalia; Rodentia; Muridae
Description: predicted gene, 25569 (MGP_PahariEiJ_G0034577.1)
Rfam family: Small nucleolar RNA SNORA48
About the family: The snoRNA ACA 48 has been identified to guide pseudouridylation of the residue U3797 in the 28S rRNA subunit. Its host gene EIF4A1 (eukaryotic translation initiation factor 4A1) is shared with U67 and snoRNA mgU6-77
Source: RNAcentral
CCCUGGCAAUGGGCAAAGAGACACCUUGUUGAUGGCAUUGCUCUUAUAUCCGUCAGGGGCAGAGGCAUGUUCGUCCUAGCUUGAUGUCUGGCUUGGUGGUCAAAACUGCUUUAUGCCUAGGACACAUAA